RNAcentral lists this ribosomal RNA (495 nucleotides) under uncultured bacterium. Its description in RNAcentral is "partial 16S ribosomal RNA". It matches the Rfam family "Bacterial small subunit ribosomal RNA", at positions 28 to 507 of the family's 1533-position model. The record is from RNAcentral.
GAUGAACGCUGGCGGCGUGCCUAAUACAUGCAAGUCGAGCGAACAGACGAGGAGCUUGCUCCUCUGACGUUAGCGGCGGACGGGUGAGUAACACGUGGAUAACCUACCUAUAAGACUGGGAUAACUUCGGGAAACCGGAGCUAAUACCGGAUAAUAUAUUGAACCGCAUGGUUCAAUAGUGAAAGACGGUUUUGCUGUCACUUAUAUGGAUCCGCGCCGCAUUAGCUAGUUGGUAAGGUAACGGCUUACCAAGGCAACGAUGCGUAGCCGACCUGAGAGGGUGAUCGGCCACACUGGAACUGAGACACGGUCCAGACUCCUACGGGAGGCAGCAGUAGGGAAUCUUCCGCAAUGGGCGAAAGCCUGACGGAGCAACGCCGCGUGAGUGAUGAAGGUCUUCGGAUCGUAAAACUCUGUUAUUAGGGAAGAACAAAUGUGUAAGUAACUAUGCACGUCUUGACGGUACCUAAUCAGAAAGCCACGGCUAACUACGUG